GUCGAAGCAACGAGGAAAUUAAGUUUAAAAUUAAAUGCAUAAGGUGUAAGAUUAUACGUACAAUCUCAGUAAAAUCAUUCAGCAUGGCAGAAUGUCAUAACAAUCACCUGUGUCAAAAUUUUCCAAUACACCUGGCUCUAACUAAAACAAAAUUAUAACCAAUAGUAACAUAGCACACACCCAGAUCAUCGUCCCACCUACUCUACAAUCCACGUAGAGAUUGUCCUUCGAACUAAUGAACAAGAGUAAAGAAACCUAACGAAUCAUCAACCCUU
Molecule: unclassified non-coding RNA, 275 nt
Filed under: Hevea brasiliensis (rubber tree)
Lineage: Eukaryota; Viridiplantae; Streptophyta; Magnoliopsida; Malpighiales; Euphorbiaceae
Source: RNAcentral